Molecule: ribosomal RNA, 406 nt
Filed under: uncultured bacterium
Lineage: Bacteria
Description: partial 16S ribosomal RNA
Rfam family: Bacterial small subunit ribosomal RNA
Source: RNAcentral
AUUGAACGCUGGCGGCAGGCCUAACACAUGCAAGUCGAACGAGUGGAGGACGGGGGAGUAAUGUCUGGGAAACUGCCUGAUUGCGGGGGAUAACUACUGGACACGGUAGCUAAUACCACAUACCAUCGGAUGUGCCCGGUGGGGAUUCGCUAGUGGUGGGGGUAGAGGAUCACCUAGGCGACGAUCCCUAGAGGGUCUGAGAGGAUGACCAGCCACACUGGAAUUGAGCCACGGUCCAGACUCGUACGGGAGGCAGCAGUGGGGAGUAGUGCAUAAUGGACGCAAGCCUGAUGCAGCCCUGCCACGUGUAUGAAGAAGGCCUUCGGGUUGUAAAGUACUUUCAGUGUGGAGGCGUUACCCGAAGAAGAAGCACCGGCUAACUCCGUGCCAGCAGCCGCGGUAAUUC